GACGAACGCUGGCGGCGUGCUUAACACAUGCAAGUCGAACGGAAAGGCCCUGCUUUUGUGGGGUUCUCGAGUGGCGAACGGGUGAGUAACACGUGAGUAACCUGCCCUUGACUUUGGGAUAACUUCAGGAAACUGGGGUUAAUACCGGAUAGGAGCUCCUGCUGCAUGGUGGGGGUUGGAAAGUUUCGGCGGUUGGGGAUGGACUCGCGGCUGAUCAGCUUGUUGGUGGGGUAGUGGCUUACCAAGGCUUUGACGGGUAGCCGGCCUGAGAGGGUGACCGGCCACAUUGGGACGGGGAUACGGCCCAGACUCCUACGGGAGGCAGCAGUGGGGAAUAUUGCACAAUGGGCGGAAGCCUGAUGCAGCAACGCCGCGUGCGGGAUGACGGCCUUCGGGUUGUAAACCGCUUUCGCCUGUGACGAAGCGUGAGUGACGGUAAUGGGUAAAGAAGCAACGGCUAACUACGUG
Molecule: ribosomal RNA, 468 nt
Filed under: uncultured bacterium
Lineage: Bacteria
Description: partial 16S ribosomal RNA
Rfam family: Bacterial small subunit ribosomal RNA
Source: RNAcentral